RNAcentral lists this ribosomal RNA (497 nucleotides) under uncultured bacterium. RNAcentral's name for it is "partial 16S ribosomal RNA". It matches the Rfam family "Bacterial small subunit ribosomal RNA", at positions 28 to 507 of the family's 1533-position model. The record is from RNAcentral.
GAUGAACGCUGGCGGCGUGCCUAAUACAUGCAAGUCGAGCGAACAGACGAGGAGCUUGCUCCUCUGACGUUAGCGGCGGACGGGUGAGUAACACGUGGAUCACCUACCUAUAAUACUGGGAUAACUUCGGGAAACCGGAGCUAAUACCGGAUAAUAUAUUGAACCGCAUGGUUCAAUAGUGAAAGACGGUUUUGCUGUCACUUAUAGAUGGAUCCGCGCCGCAUUAGCUAGUUGGUAAGGUAACGGCUUACCAAGGCAACGAUGCGUAGCCGACCUGAGAGGGUGAUCGGCCACACUGGAACUGAGACACGGUCCAGACUCCUACGGGAGGCAGCAGUAGGGAAUCUUCCGCAAUGGGCGAAAGCCUGACGGAGCAACGCCGCGUGAGUGAUGAAGGUCUUCGGAUCGUAAAACUCUGUUAUUAGGGAAGAACAAAUGUGUAAGUAACUAUGCACGUCUUGACGGUACCUAAUCAGAAAGCCACGGCUAACUACGUG